RNAcentral lists this ribosomal RNA (254 nucleotides) under uncultured bacterium. RNAcentral's name for it is "partial 16S ribosomal RNA". It matches the Rfam family "Bacterial small subunit ribosomal RNA", at positions 524 to 776 of the family's 1533-position model. The record is from RNAcentral.
UACGUAGGGGGCAAGCGUUGUCCGGAUUUAUUGGGCGUAAAGAGCUCGUAGGUGGUUUGGUUAGUCGGAUGUGAAAUCUCCAGGCUCAACCUGGAGGGGUCAUUCGAUACUGCCAUGACUAGAGGUCGGUAGGGGAGUGUGGAAUUCCUGGUGGAGCGGUGAAAUGCGCAGAUAUCAGGAGGAACACCCGUAGCGAAGGCGGGUCUCUGGGCCGAUAUUGACGCUGAGGAGCGAAAGCGUGGGGAGCGAACAGG